This 428-nucleotide ribosomal RNA is filed under the name uncultured bacterium. RNAcentral's name for it is "bacterial SSU rRNA". It matches the Rfam family "Bacterial small subunit ribosomal RNA", at positions 917 to 1345 of the family's 1533-position model. The record is from RNAcentral.
GGGCCCGCACAAGCGGUGGAGCAUGUGGUUUAAUUCGAUGCAACGCGAAGAACCUUACCAAGACUUGACAUCCAGAGAAUUCGCUAGAGAUAGCUUAGUGCCUUCGGGAACUCUGAGACAGGUGCUGCAUGGCUGUCGUCAGCUCGUGUUGUGAAAUGUUGGGUUAAGUCCCGUAACGAGCGCAACCCUUGUCCUUAGUUGCCAUCAGUUCGGCUGGGAACUCUAAGGAGACUGCCGGUGACAAACCGGAGGAAGGUGGGGACGACGUCAAGUCAUCAUGGCCCUUACGUCUUGGGCUACACACGUGCUACAAUGGUCAGUACAAAGGGUUGCCAAGCCGCGAGGUGGAGCCAAUCCCAUAAAACUGAUCGUAGUCCGGAUUGGAGUCUGCAACUCGACUCCAUGAAGUCGGAAUCGCUAGUAAUCGU